UUUUCUAAUUGUAGUAACGCUGAAUUAUAGAAGCGUGACUGAGAACUGGGUUUGUUCACAGCAGAUCGUGAAGCAAGGCCGGGAACACAUGACAAAUAAUACUUCAAUUAACGGCCAAAUAUUCCUGAAUUUUCUGCCCUUCAAAGGAGGCUACAACAUGCAGUCUAUAUGUGGAAAGUGGGAAGUUUGUUAGCCAGCAGGGUCUGGGCAUGCAAAUAUUUACAUAUGCUUACAUACAGAUUUAAUUUCUGGGGAGGAUUCAGACAGCAGGAGUAUUUUGGUGCUGCGACAUUAGUGGGACUCUGAAAGAGCGCAGGUGCUCUGUAGGGAGCCAAGCACUUUCAGAUUUGCAGGGAGACAAGAUCUGAAUUAUAGCUUUUAUGGUCCUAGAGGUAUCAGCGGGAUGAGAGUUUUGAUUCUGGUGUGAUUUAUCUUGGUUCCACGGCUGGAAACACAGCUGUGCUUGCCUUCAUCUCUGCUACACCGAGCUCUGCUUUUCUGCUGUGCAGUUGUGUCUGUAGGGCAGAUUCUUCCCCUUUUCUUCUUCUUUCCUUUAUUUCUGUAGUGUUUUUAGGUGUAUUUGACAUCUUUGAUAGGGGAAAAAAUACUUUUGAGUAUUAGGAGGAGUGCCUGGGAAUAUAUAGAUAUGUGGUUAAUGUAGAGUCCUUGAAAUGCUGGUUCUGCGAGAGAUGGCAUUCAGCUGCUGGAGGAUGGGCAAGAGAGGUCCCAGGCGCCGGAGGGAGGGUGAAGCCCCCUUUCCAGGGCGCCUUCCCAUGAGGAGGCGGCAGAUGACCCCAUCUCUCCACUCACAGCUUGUAUUCUCUUUCUCCUUCUACUCUGGGCCCCUUCUAAAGAUGAGUUAAUGGGCAAAUCUGCUUUUUAAUUAUAAAGGGCUGUAGAAGAUUUCCUUUUCAGAGCAGGGGACCCUACAUCUCCGUCCCUAGACUGAGUGAUCUUCAUCGCUCCCUCUGCAUCCCCUCUCUCCUUGCUGCAGCAGAUGCUGGGUCCUUUUCUUGGGCGGUUUCCUUCCCUCCCGCCCACUGCUGUGGGAAGGGUGCCUGCACUCAGCAUAGCCACAGGAGCCUGCUCUGGUCAGCAGGGCUUGAUCAUCUAACUCUGGCCACAACAGAUUGGUUUGCUGUCCUCCACCAUCAGAGUCCCUGAGUGAAGCUCUGAGCCCCAGGAACGUGGAGCUGAUACUGCCUGGGAAGAGGUAGUGGUGAGCAGCUACUCUCUCCCUGUCCAGGGGUAUAAACUGAGAGCAGCUCUACUGAAGUCAACACAGAUCACACAAAGACCAGAGCUGAUCUGCCAAAGACCAGAGCUGCAAACCUGAAGCCUGCUGCUGUGCAAAUAAACUAGCUAGCAUGGAGAGGCUGGCUGCUCCUGGACUCUGGGAUUUUUGUUCAACAGCAACUUGCAUCCCCUAUGUGACCAAAAGGUUGGUCUGAGGCGUGACCUGAAUGUGUCCCUGCUCUCUGGAGCAAAGCACUGCUCCAUGAGACCUGUAUGGUGGAUGGACUUUCCGAAGCAAGGACAUAUCAUCUGUUCAGUAUCCGCUUUCUGAGCCCUGAAUGGGAGGUCUAAACCUCAGCUGAUGCUGCAGCGUGCUGGAGGAGUCCUGGUGGUCUCAGAGCUUCAGGCAGCCAGAACAUCCCCUAGGGCUGUCAGGAAAUCCUGGACUAUUGUUUUUUACCACCAUACAGAAAAAGACUGUGCGUCUCUACCCCACUGUAAUGUGGCAACACGCACCUCACUGUUCUGGUACCUGCCCAUGCCAGUCCCUCUGUUCUGGGAGUUCAUAUCUAGGAGUGUCACAGCACUUUUUCCUAUGUGCUUAGCUUCAAGUCAUUGGAGGAGAAAUACAGUCAUAGCUGCAGAUAGUAAAUUAAGCUAUCACUUUUAUUGCUCAUUUCAGCCAGGUGCCUUGAAUGACUUACCUGUCAUCAUUUAGGAGAUUUCUGGUGAAACAGAGAUUUGAACAUGCAUGUCCUGAGCCGUGGACGAACAUGUAAAGCUACUGGGCAGUGUUUUGUGUCUAGAGCUUUAUUUGUGGCUCAGAGGUGAAAAGCAAAAAAUUAAAAGUCUUUGAUACCACUGUUACAUAAACUUCAGAUUUAUUUUUAGCAAUGUUUUCUAAAAAGGAAUGGCCAGAAAUAAUAAAUCUGUCGUUUUACAUAAGGUAAUGAGCCUGUUUUCUCAGAUUCUGUGUUCACACUGUGGCUCAGGCAGUUCCCUUUUAGAAAUAUUCCAAUUAAUCAUGUUUGACAAAAGGGAGUGUAAAGAUUAGUUUCCUACUACUUCUGUGAAAGUAAGUAGCUGGUUGAAGAGGAAACAUCUUUUUAAUGUCCCCAUUAAAGGAAAGACUUCAACAGGAUCUCAUUCUUAUUAGACACAAGAGAAGCUGCAUGGGGUAUCAUCUUUCUUGCAUCCUAAAUGUGAGGAAACCUGGUUUAGCCAGUGAAACUACUUGGUUCAAUCAACUAGUGGUAAGUCAUGUGUAAGAACACUACUAGGGAAAGAAGUGAGCAAGUUAAGAACAUAACAUUCCUACUACAGGUGGAAACACAAACCAAUAUUCAAUUAUAUUGGCAGGACAAUCAAAGUUUCUUUUAAAAAAGUAUUCUGUAUGUCUUGAAUAACAGAAAGACAGGAAGUCACUUCUGUCAUCCCAGUGACAACAGCCCCAACAACAUGAAAGAUUAGAUAAAAUAUGCAAGCAGAGUAAGUAUUUUUAAAAUAAGAUACUAACUUAAUAUUGAAAAGUAUUGUGCCUGUGUAAUGCAGUUAUUUUUGCUUGAGUUCCCUUUGCAUCUCUGAAAGAGACCAGUCUUACAGCCAUGGCUGUCAUUCAAGUGAUGAACUGAAUAAAGUGUGAAGAAUGUGGUACCACAGAUACAGAAAAAUACAGAUAUUCUUUGACCAUAGUCAAAUGCAAGGUGUUUUUAACUUUAGGAUGUAUACGGUAAAAUACAAGCUAUAAAUAUAUAUGACUCCAUUGCUGUUCUCAGUCAAAUGUAUUUUAAAAGACUUCUAAACUACUUUUUCUCCGUGUGUGCUUGCUUGUUUUUGGUGUCUUGUUUAAAUUUUGGAGAGGUUAGAGGAAAAGGAGUGUUCUCCAAGGAGGAUCUGCCUCUGUAAUCUGUAAUUCUUUUUUUGCUCUGGAUGUGGUGUAAUUCCCAUAAACUCUAGGAACAAAAUAUUAACUAGGGUUGAAAGUUUGCUUGGGGCAUUUGGUUCAUGUUCAUACUAGUCUGAGAGAAAUCACAUUUUGAAGAGACUUACCGAGACUCUAAUCUCUCCGCAGAGAGCUGAAUGACUGUGGCAGGCUUGACAAUGCUAUUCAUUUUUGGAGCCUCACCAGCAAAACAAGCACUCAGCACAAAAGGAUAUAUAGUGUCUAGGCUACUGUACUAUUCAUACAUCUGUAUCUAUCCAUCUAGCAAGGGACUUCACACCAUAUAAAUACAUAUCACUGGAAUAAUACCAUUUUCCAUUCUGUAUCUUGGAGAUUAGUGUUUCCCAGUGUCAGGUAGUGCUAAUUAGUGAUACAACACACACCUUUCUAUAGAUCAAAGACACAAAGUCUUGAAAGCAAAACUGUUUUAAAUGUAGGGAACAGGUUGCAUUACCUAUUACACGCUGUAUGAACAAUAGGCAGAUAUAUGUCUAGUGGUGUGUGACUAAUAUACACCAUUCUUUCUCAAAUAGUUAAGCCCUUGCUGUUCAGGCAGUGAGUACAUGUGUCCACUUUAACAGUAGGGGUUUAAUGUUUUUAUAAAUACUUAAUGAAGUAUAUAUAAUUCAAAGUACAGUUUCAUUCUACAUCUAUGUCUUCAUCUUCUUAGGUCCUUGAUCCUAUGCACACAGCUGGAAUGUUAAACAAAAAAUUAUGUCCCUACAGUUUCUUAGAAGUGAAAAUAUUUAACUAUUAUCAACAGGCAAAAAAGCAACUCCCUUCUCUCCCCCAUAAAUAAAUAUAGCAGAGAAAUGACAUCAG
This is a long non-coding RNA of Athene cunicularia (burrowing owl), 4000 nucleotides long. RefSeq lists it as uncharacterized. The record is from RefSeq and is a predicted model, not a curated record. The transcript has 3 exons. Lineage: Eukaryota; Metazoa; Chordata; Aves; Strigiformes; Strigidae.